AGCGUGUGAUGACAAUAGUUUCGGUCCCAAAUGAACAUGUGAUUACUGUAAUGAGAUCUUCCGAUGUU
Brienomyrus brachyistius is the source of this 68-nucleotide small nucleolar RNA. RefSeq annotates it as small nucleolar RNA SNORD73. Lineage: Eukaryota; Metazoa; Chordata; Actinopteri; Osteoglossiformes; Mormyridae. The record is from RefSeq and is a predicted model, not a curated record. The transcript has a single exon.